CAUUUGCAAGUUCCCGAGCCAGGGAUCAAACCUGACCCAAAGUAGUGACGAUACCAGGUAUUUUAACCAGCAAGGAACUCCUUAAAUAUUUUUAUUCUCUAGCAUAUGAGAUUCACUAGGCCUGAAAUUAGGUCUUUCUGCUGCCCCUCCCGAUUAGCAAAGCCCGGCCUUUCUGGAGUCAGGAUGACCACUUUCCAGCAUCCCUUCUUGAGCCGGGUGGAAGAGUUUCCGGUUGGUCAAGAACAACACUCAUAAACCAUCUUUGGAGCCCUGAGAACUACAUUGUCCAGAAGACCCUGCGCCGAGUUGAGUCAAUGAAAGCUCAGGGUGAGGCGUUUCUGGGCGGAUUCCGGGUAGCGGGGCGGGAACUUCCGGCCUGCUGCUCCGUGAGCCGUCUCUGGGGCUCGGGGUCUGGUCUGACUGCAGAGCUUCGUGUCGGGAUCCGAGCGCAGGGACCCGAAAGGUCUGAGAGGAGGCGCUGUCCCUCGGUACAGAGGUGAAGUAGGGAUGCCCCACUCCUGACCUUGGAUAGGGCGGUCCUGCUCUAGCUCUGCUCCUCCGCUGCUGCUCCCACAACAGACUCAGAGGCAGCAGCUUCACCGAGGUACCGGCACAAGUAAGAAGAAAGUGAAACAACAAGGGCUUAUCUUGGAACUUCUUCAGGAUGUGACGUCUUUGUGGAGCCGGCUGAGCUUCAUGGAGUGUGAGAUAAUGUCUAUUCGCUGCCUUUAACAACGAGCAGAGGUCCUAGACCCACAGUCCAGUCUUCCCCAGAAGGCUGCCAAGCUAAUGCCUUUGGGGACAGCCUCUAGAGCGCUGCGGACUACAUUACCCAGAAGACGUCAGGAGGAGAGGCCGCCGUUACGAACCAGUAAUGAAUCAGUGAGGAGUUUCUGCGCGUGCGCAUCCCGCCGGGGCGGGACUUCCGGCGUCCUCUUUGUGGCGGUUGUUUUCGCUCUUCUAGGUUCUGUUCCAGCUCCGGGGGCGUUGUGUCAGAAUCGAGGUGACGAGACCAAAAAGGUCCGAGAGGAGGCGCUGUCCCCACGGCACAGAGGCGGGUCUGAGGUUUCUGUGACGCCGCCCGGAGUGUCCCACACCUGGCCCGGGAUAGGGACCGCCGUGCCCGCGUCCCCCUCCUCUCCCGUCGCUUCUGGCCGGUGUCGCCCGCAGAGCCCGAUGGCGGCGGCCGAGUCGAGAGACCCGCUUCAGGUAAACGCUCGUCCGCAGGCCCUCCCCGCCCUCCGCCACCAGACGCUGAAGUCCCGAGGGCGAGGUACCUGCAGCCAGGGCCCCGGAGUCCAGGACGGCGAGGCGGUCGUGGGUGCCGCCCUAUUUCGACGGACGGUGUGACGGCGCGUGGGAGAGGGUACAGGGGAGGGACCCGCAGGUGCAAAGGCUCGGAGGUCAGGCUGAGCCCCGAGGAUUCGGGAAACCUGGGGCCCAUCAGAUGUCUGCAGGAAACAAACACCGCGAGGUGGAAUCGCGCCUGGAUUGGCAGAGGGAGCGAGGACCCUGGGAGCCAUGGAGGGUUGUGAACUGGCUGAGAACGGUCUGGGUUAGGGCUUUAAAAGUUUUCAAAAAUCUGCCCAGAGAAUGAACGGACUGGAAUGGGAAUGACAAAUACAAAGAGACACAGGAUCUGGUGAGAGGCAGCAUUGAGGACUGAGGCGCAGAGGUUAGUCAGCUCGAGGGCCCUGGUUCCAGGGCUGGGUGGAGAUACACGGGAGUCCCGCCCUCAUGGGGCCCAGCCUUGGUCGCCCUCCCCUUCCCUCCAGGUUGUGAAGGUUGAAGAAGCCUUUAGGAACCUACAUAAGGCAGCCGAGGAUGUCCCAGUUCUCAUUGUUUCUGGUGGCUAAAGUGGAACAGACGUUAGAGGCGAGGCACACAUUCAGGGCUCUCGCUCUGGGGUCCCUGGAAGGACUGAGGUAGUACUAGAUCACGUUUGAUUUUGUUAAGCACUUUCUGGUUGCCAUGUUCCAAGUACAUGAGUGAGUCCAGAGAGAAGCCUGUGGUGUGGAGCACGGAAGUGGUAGAGCUGCGGGAUUGCAGCUGUGGGGCCUGAAGAUGUGCACAUGGACGAGUGGGAGUUGAGGGCCCAUGGGCCCAGGGAUUGGGACUUAAGGGUAAAGAUGACCCCAUGUUUGUCUGUGUCGUGGAAACACAGUGUGGGAGACCUCAGGGGAAUUGCUGUGGAACACAUGGUGAGGAGGUGGAUGGUGGGUUUUCAGAGCCAGAAUGUUUAGGGUUUCAUCUAUCCCAUUCAUGACAGGGUGGUGUGACCUUUGAGGACAUUGCCCUGUACUUCUCCUGGGAAGAGUGGAGGCUUCUUGAUGAGGCUCAGAGAUGCCUGUAUCGUGAUGUGAUGCUGGAGAACUAUGCACUCAUAUCCUCACUAGGUGUACAACAAUCAUCACAACUAAAUUUUACAGCAUUUCCAUCCCAAACCCUCAGUGCAUCCCCCCACCCCUCAGCCUGUCUCAUUUGGAAACCAUUAAGUUUUUCAAAGUCUGUGAGUCAGUAUCUCUUCUGCAAAGAAGUUCAUUGUGUCCCUUUUUUAGAUUCCACAUGUUUCUGGAGUGAAGAGGAUAUUGAAGUACCCUUUGAACAGAGUUUUUCUGUAGGAACAUCACAGGCCAGGACUUCCAAGGAACCUUCAUCUUCCCAGAAGACUCAACCCUGUGAAAUGUGUGGUCCACUAUUGAGAGACAUUUUCCAUUUGCCUGAGCAGCAGGGAACACAACACAGCCAUAAACUAUUCAAGUGUGGAGCAUGUACAAAAGGAUUUUAUUUCAGUGCAGACCUUCAGCAGAACCGGGAGCGGCACAUGUGUGAAAAACCAUUCCUAAGCAGUGUGGACAGGGCGUCAUUUGUGAAUAGCUGUAAUUUCACUGUGUCAGGGGAGCCUUUUACCUCCAGAGAGGCUGGAAAGGACCUCCUACCCACCACAGGACAUCUGAAGCAACAGGCCAUUCACACUGAGGAGAAGCCAAACACAAUCACCCACUCCAUGGAAACUUCACAGAGCAGAAAAAGUCAUCACCCCUGCGGUACAUGCAAGAAAGCCUUCAGUUCCAAACACACACUUGUUCAGGAUCAGAGUGUCUACACUGAAAGACAGCAUUUUGUGUGCCGUGAAUGUGGGAAAACAUUCACAUAUAAGUCCUCAUUAAUAGUGCACCGGAGAGUCCACACUGGCGACAGACUUUAUGACUGUGGCGACUGUGGAAAAUCAUUUAGGGGAAAUUCAGCUCUCAAUCAACAUCGAAGAAUUCAUACUGGGGCAAGGCAGUACAAAUGCAGCAAAUGUGGGAAAUCAUUUAGCCAAGAAUUUGUCCACAUUUAUCCCCAGGGAAGUCACACUGGAGGAAACUGUUACAUGUGCCAUCGUUGUGCACAGUCUUUUAGCCAUAGCUCCAUCUCUGUUCAACAACAGACAGUGCACACUGGAGAAAUGAGUUAUGAGUGCACUGAAUGUAGGAAGUCCUUUAGACGAAAAUCUGACCUCAUGGAACACUGGAGGGUUCACACAGGAGAAAAGCCUUAUGUGUGCAGUGAAUGUGGGAAAUCUUUCACUUCUAGCUCUGCCCUUCGUUAUCAUCAGAGAGUUCACACUGGAGAAAAGCCUUAUAAAUGUCGGGAAUGCGGGAAGUCUUUUACCUCUAGCUCUGGCCUACGUUAUCAUCAGAGAGUUCACACAGGAGAAAGGCCUUAUGAGUGUACUGAUUGUGGGAAGUCUUUUACCCAAAUAAAUCACCUCAUUAUACACCGAAGAGUUCACACAGGAGAAAGACCUUAUGAGUGCAAUGAAUGUGGGAAAUCCUUUAGCCACAAAUCUUACCUCUCUCAACACCAGAGAGUUCACACUGGGGAAAGGCCGUAUGAAUGUAGUGAAUGUGGCAAAUCUUUUACCUCUGGUUCUGCUCUCUGUUAUCAUCAGAGAGUUCACACAGGAGAAAAACCUUAUGAGUGCAGUGAAUGUGGGAAGUCAUUUACCAAUGGACCAAUACUCAUUCGACACCGUAGAGUUCACACAGGAGAAAGGCCUUAUGAAUGCAAUGAAUGUGGGAAGUCUUUUACCCAAAGAAAUCAUCUCAAUAUACACCAGAGAGUUCACACAGGAGAAAGGCCUUAUGAAUGUAAUGAAUGUGGAAAAUCUUUUACCUCUGGCUCUGCCCUUCGUUAUCAUCAGAAAAUUCACAUAGGAGAAAGACCUUAUGAGUGCAGUGAAUGUGAGAAGUCUUUUACCUCUAGCUCUGCCCUCCGUUGUCAUCAGAGAGUUCACACAGGAGAAAGGCCUUUUGACUGCAGUGAAUGUGGGAAAUCUUUUAGGGAUAGUUCUCAAUUGAAUCAACACCAGAGAGUUCACACUGGAGAAAAGCCUUAUGAAUGUAGUGAUUGUGGGAGAUCCUUUAGCCAGAAUUCAUAUCUUUCUAAACACCGGAGAGUUCACACUGGAGAAAGGCCUUAUGAGUGCAGCGAAUGUGAGAAAUCUUUUACUUCUGUCUCUGCCCUGGGCUAUCAUCAGAGAGUUCACACUGGAGAACGGCCUUAUAAGUGCAGUGAAUGUGGGAAAUGUUUUACCAAUAGCUCAAUACUCAUUCGACAUCGAAGAGUUCACACAGGAGAAAGGCCUCACGAGUGUAGUGACUGUGGGAAGUCCUUUACUCAAAGAAUUCACCUCGUUAUUCACCAGAGAGUUCACACAGGAGAAAGGCCUUAUGAAUGCAGUGAAUGUGGGAAAUCUUUUACCUCUCGUUCCACCCUUCAUUAUCAUCAGAGAGUUCACACAGGAGAAAGGCCUUAUGACUGCAGCGAAUGUGGGAAGUCUUUUAGCCGAAAAUCUAACCUCUCUCAGCACCAGAGAGUUCACACUGGAGAAAGGACUUAGAUAUGUAAGAAACGUGUAAUUUCCUUGUUUACUGUAAUAAUACUGGAGGAAAUUGUGAGGCACUCGCUGAAUUGAAUGUCAUAUAUCCAAAUACAAACAGUGAAGAGAUUCCUCAAAAUUUUCACUUAUGUGGGAAGCAUGUGUGACUGUGUUGCACUCUAACCUGCCUAGGUUGCUGGCAGAUUUAUUUCACUGCCAGUUUCUGUGGCCAAAUCCACUUCAUCUCUAUAUCCUGGCAGGUCCCCACGGUGCAUCACUCACUCCAGUGUGCUCAGGGAAGCUGACUCUGAUCCCUUGUUUGUUGGAGGAAAUUAGGAAUAGCCUGAGCCCUUGGGAUAUCCUCAUUCCCUUCUCUCUGACCAGCUUGGGUAUGGACCAGUAUUGGCCCAGAGAAUCCCAUAUGGGUUUGACUGGCAGCUUGCUGAGGAUGACUGCCAUUUUCAGGAAAAUGUUGGUCUUGAGAUACUUGUGAUAGAUUUUUUUCAGCUUCCACAUUUCUAGCUAAAGAGCUGCCAGCCCCACAAAAAGGAUUAAAAAGUCCUUUUUAAUCUUGGAUGUUCUAUCUACUAUGUUGGGUGGUUUAUAAACAGAUUGGGCUCUACAAGCAUGAAGAGGUAAGCAAUUUUUAUAGGUACUUUCUGUGCCUCAGAGGAGACAUUACAGAGGCAGACAUUAGCUUAUGUUUUUGCCAAGUCUGCAUUUCUGCCCAUGGCCUCCUAGGAGAGACUGCAGAGCUAGUCCUAAUUUGAGUCCUGGAUUCUAUAAGUUUUAGGAGACCCUGAGAUCACCCUGAGGUAGGGUCAGCUGUGACAACCUCAAGUGUUUCUGGGAGCAGCAUGGAUUUUCCCCCUUGUUCACAGGGGAUGUCAGUACUGUUGAGGGGAACCUCUUCCUCAGGUCCUGCAGAGAGCCAUGUCCCCAGUUAUCCAGAAUUCAAUGAGUGAUGGUCACUAGUGUUAAGACCAUAGGGGUCAGGGAAAACUAUAAUUUCUACAAAAACACUGGUUUAAUAGGAGUUGGGGGAGACUGCAUCUAACUGCAUGAGAUAUACCUCUUCUAAAUGUGUGUCCAGAGAUGCCUGUGAUAGUGGCUGUCCAAGGUGAGUAUAUACACAAA
This is a non-coding RNA of Sus scrofa (pig), 6004 nucleotides long. NCBI's taxonomy places the organism in Eukaryota, Metazoa, Chordata, Mammalia, Artiodactyla, Suidae. The record is from RefSeq and is a predicted model, not a curated record.